UAAGCGGAGGAAAAGAAACUAACAAGGAUUCCCCUAGUAACGGCGAGUGAACCGGGAAGAGCUCAAAUUUGAAAUCUGGCAGUCUUCGAUUGUCCGAGUUGUAAUCUAUAGAAGCGUUUUCCGUGCUGAACUGUGUCUAAGUCCCUUGGAACAGGGUAUCAAAGAGGGUGACAAUCCCGUACUUGACACAAUCAUCAGUGCUCUGUGAUACGUUCUCUACGAGUCGAGUUGUUUGGGAAUGCAGCUCAAAAUGGGUGGUAAAUUCCAUCUAAAGCUAAAUAUUGGCGAGAGACCGAUAGCGAACAAGUACCGUGAGGGAAAGAUGAAAAGCACUUUGGAAAGAGAGUUAAACAGUACGUGAAAUUGUUGAAAGGGAAACGAUUGAAGUCAGUCGUGUUCAUUGGAUUCAGCCGGUCUUCGGUGUAUUUCCUUUGAACGGGUCAACAUCAGUUUUGUCCGGUGGAUAAAGGUAGUAGGAAAGUGGCUCCUCCGGGAGUGUUAUAGCCUAUUGCCACAUACACUGGGUGAGACUGAGGACUGCAGCUUGCCUUUAUGGCCGGGGUUCGCCCACGUUCAAGCUUAGGAUGUUGACAUAAUGGCUUUAAACGACCCGUCUUGAAACAC
RNAcentral lists this ribosomal RNA (624 nucleotides) under Apiotrichum wieringae. RNAcentral describes it as "eukaryotic LSU rRNA". It matches the Rfam family "Eukaryotic large subunit ribosomal RNA", at positions 47 to 662 of the family's 3401-position model. Lineage: Eukaryota; Fungi; Basidiomycota; Tremellomycetes; Trichosporonales; Trichosporonaceae. The record is from RNAcentral.